UGUAUAUUCAACUGAAGUUUGUUUAUUUUUCUUCACCAUUUUUUAAGAAAUUAUUAUUUUAAAGUCUACAUGUCCAUUCGAUGUAACGUUUUGUAUUUUUUUUAAGGCAGUUGUUAAAGGCUGGCAGUGGUAACAGGCCCUCCUUGCUGAUAAAGAAACAAAUUGUCCCAGGAAAAGAGGUGGCAGACGGAGCAGCCAAAACACAUGCACAGUGAAGUGGUAGAAGCCAUCCACGGGGCAGGAGAAGAUGCCAGUGUCAGGACUGUAGCCUCCUCCCUCGUUGACCAGCACAGUGGCAAACUUCAGGACUCCAGAGGAGCAGGGGUAGCUGUCCUCCACUUUCAGCUUGGCUGUGAAGGCAACAGUCCCUAGAAUGGGUUCACAGGAUUACAUCACCACGGUGCUGAAGGAGAGACGAGUUCAAUGCAGAUCAGUAAUCCAAUGCACGAUAUUUUAUUUAGUUUCAGACACGCUGCACUUGGAAUUUAAAAUGAGAGGAUCAGAAUGCAUGAGGAUGAUUAUCACGAUACUGUAUGAUGAUCAUAACAUGUGACAAUGACAGCUUUAUCUCAAAUAAAACCCAGUGAAGAUAGUAUCAUUAUCUUCUGUUGCAAAGAUGUCAUGUCGACCCUGCCCCCAUAAAUUAAUCCAGACCUCAUCUUUCUUGGACAGUUUGACCACGCUGCCGACACUGGCCACCUGGCUGCUGUUAUAACUGAGUCUAUCCGGCAGAUUCCUGUGAUACAGGGACACUACUUUCUCUCCGUUCUUGAAUAUGGCACACUGUCCGCAUCCGUACACCGUCAUGUGCACCAUGAAGUGAUAGAGGCCGUCCACGGGGCAGGAGAAGAUGCCUGUGUCAGGACUGUAGCCUCCUCCCUCGUUGACCAGCACGUUGGCAAACUUCAGGACUCCGGAGUGUUUUGGGUGGCUGUCGUCGAUUUUCAGCUUGGCCGUGAAGGCGACAGGUCUGCCUAAAGUGGGUGAAGUCAGUGCUGGUGAUUAGACAUAAAACAGUGUGAAUUUGUUUCAAGCUUCAUAGGUUCAGAGGUUACGAAGGCACUCUGUCAGCCACCCAUACAAGCAAUUCAAGCUCUUUUGUGUUCCUUCUCCGAAUAUCAAAAUGCAGCACUGUGUGACAACCUUGAAACUGUACGUACACUCCAAGCAGAAUGUGUACAUGGAUGCAGACAUUUUUUACAUCAUGAUGGCUGUACAGUCGGACAAAUGCACAUGUUUGUUGAUUAUUAAAAGCUUUUACCGUGUGA
Acanthopagrus latus (yellowfin seabream) is the source of this 1268-nucleotide long non-coding RNA. RefSeq lists it as uncharacterized. The record is from RefSeq and is a predicted model, not a curated record. NCBI's taxonomy places the organism in Eukaryota, Metazoa, Chordata, Actinopteri, Spariformes, Sparidae. The transcript has 4 exons.